AACGAACGCUGGCGGCAUGCCUAACACAUGCAAGUCGAACGAAGUCUUCGGACUUAGUGGCGCACGGGUGCGUAACGCGUGGGAAUCUGCCCUUGGGUACGGAAUAACUCUCCGAAAGGAGUGCUAAUACCGUAUGAUGUCGCAAGACCAAAGAUUUAUCGCCCAGGGAUGAGCCCGCGUAGGAUUAGCUAGUUGGUGGGGUAAAGGCUCACCAAGGCGACGAUCCUUAGCUGGUCUGAGAGGAUGAUCAGCCACACUGGGACUGAGACACGGCCCAGACUCCUACGGGAGGCAGCAGUGGGGAAUAUUGGACAAUGGGCGAAAGCCUGAUCCAGCAAUGCCGCGUGAGUGAUGAAGGCCCUAGGGUUGUAAAGCUCUUUUACCCGGGAUGAUAAUGACAGUACCGGGAGAGUAAGCCCCGGCUAACUCCGUGCCAGCCGCCGCCGUAA
RNAcentral lists this ribosomal RNA (449 nucleotides) under uncultured bacterium. RNAcentral's name for it is "partial 16S ribosomal RNA". It matches the Rfam family "Bacterial small subunit ribosomal RNA", at positions 29 to 523 of the family's 1533-position model. The record is from RNAcentral.